Molecule: non-coding RNA, 73 nt
Organism: Myotis davidii
Lineage: Eukaryota; Metazoa; Chordata; Mammalia; Chiroptera; Vespertilionidae
Source: Rfam
GGCCGUUCUUGGGUGACACACCCCGGAAUCAGGCUCCCUCCUCUGGUUUCAGGUGCAUCACCUGAGAACCUCA